AUCGCCACUCUAAAGUUUCUUUUAAUUUUCAUGAAUCUUACACGACAGUUUUGUAGUGUAUAUAGAACGUAGAAAUAAUAGAUAUAGCAGCAUAUGGGACUGGGAAUAUUAUAUACCUGAUAUUUAGGACUCUUAAUAGUUACUAGUAAUGGCUAAUGCCUUAGAGACCUGUUAGUGCUGUUAGUAAUGUCAAUGAAACUAAUAUUUGGUCUUUAGUACACAAGC
Molecule: non-coding RNA, 225 nt
Organism: Paramuricea clavata
Lineage: Eukaryota; Metazoa; Cnidaria; Anthozoa; Malacalcyonacea; Plexauridae
Source: the annotation of a GenBank genome assembly